AUACGUAGGGAGCGAGCGUUGUCCGGAAUUACUGGGUGUAAAGGGAGCGUAGGCGGGACGGCAAGUCAGAUGUGAAAUACAUGGGCUCAACCCAUGGGCUGCAUUUGAAACUGCUGUUCUUGAGUGAAGUAGAGGUAAGCGGAAUUCCUGGUGUAGCGGUGAAAUGCGUAGAUAUCAGGAGGAACACCGGUGGCGAAGGCGGCUUACUGGGCUUUUACUGACGCUGAGGCUCGAAAGCGUGGGGAGCAAACAGGAUUAGAUACCCUGGUAGUCCACGCUGUAAACGAUGAUCACUAGGUGUGGGGGGACUGACCCCUUCCGUGCCGCAGUUAACACAAUAAGUGAUCCACCUGGGGAGUACGGCCGCAAGGUUGAAACUCAAAUGAAUUGACGGGG
Molecule: ribosomal RNA, 396 nt
Filed under: uncultured bacterium
Lineage: Bacteria
Description: partial 16S ribosomal RNA
Rfam family: Bacterial small subunit ribosomal RNA
Source: RNAcentral